Molecule: small RNA, 116 nt
Filed under: Pelobates cultripes (western spadefoot toad)
Lineage: Eukaryota; Metazoa; Chordata; Amphibia; Anura; Pelobatidae
Source: RNAcentral
AAAAGGAAUAAAUAAAAAACUACAUAUACAAAAGAAAGUCCCUUUAAGAAACAAGUCCUCUUUGGACUUGUUUCUUAAAGGGACUUUCUUUUGUAUAUGUAGUUUUUUAUUUAUUC